Molecule: ribosomal RNA, 429 nt
Filed under: Actinomycetes bacterium
Lineage: Bacteria; Bacillati; Actinomycetota; Actinomycetes
Description: Actinobacteria bacterium partial 16S ribosomal RNA
Rfam family: Bacterial small subunit ribosomal RNA
Source: RNAcentral
UAGGGAAUCUUCCGCAAUGGGCGAAAGCCUGACGGAGCAACGCCGCGUGAGUGAUGAAGGUCUUCGGAUCGUAAAACUCUGUUAUUAGGGAAGAACAAAUGUGUAAGUAACUAUGCACGUCUAGACGGUACCUAAUCAGAAAGCCACGGCUAACUACGUGCCAGCAGCCGCGGUAAUACGUAGGUGGCAAGCGUUAUCCGGAAUUAUUGGGCGUAAAGCGCGCGUAGGCGGUUUUUUAAGUCUGAUGUGAAAGCCCACGGCUCAACCGUGGAGGGUCAUUGGAAACUGGAAAACUUGAGUGCAGAAGAGGAAAGUGGAAUUCCAUGUGUAGCGGUGAAAUGCGCAGAGAUAUGGAGGAACACCAGUGGCGAAGGCGACUUUCUGGUCUGUAACUGACGCUGAUGUGCGAAAGCGUGGGGAUCAAACAGG